AUUGAACGCUGGCGGCAGGCCUAACACAUGCAAGUCGAACGGCAGCAGGGUGCUAGCUUCUGCUUACGGGGGGCGAGUGGUGGGUGAUGGCGAGGUACAUGGCAAUUUAUUUGUUCGUGGGUGAUAACGUGGGCACUAUUACGCCAAUCGCGCAGACGACCAACGUGUGGGAGCAGCGGAUCUUCGGCUCUCGCGCGAGUGUAUGACCGGAUGUCGGAUUAGCUAGUUGGCGGGGUAAAGGCCCACCAAGGCGACGAUCCGUAGCUGGUCUGAGAGGAUGAUCAGCCACACUGGAACUGAGACACGGUCCAGACUCCUACGGGAGGCAGCAGUGGGGAAUAUUGGACAAUGGGCGAAAGCCUGAUCCAGCCAUGCCGCGUGGGUGAAGAAGGUCUUCGGGUUGUAAAGCCCUUUUAGUGGGGAGGAAGGGCAGUAAGUUAAUACCUUGCUGUUUUGACGGUACCAAAAGAAUAAGCACCGGCUAACUUCGUG
RNAcentral lists this ribosomal RNA (492 nucleotides) under uncultured bacterium. Its description in RNAcentral is "partial 16S ribosomal RNA". It matches the Rfam family "Bacterial small subunit ribosomal RNA", at positions 30 to 507 of the family's 1533-position model. The record is from RNAcentral.